This 66-nucleotide transfer RNA is filed under the name Parnips nigripes. Its description in RNAcentral is "tRNA-Pro". The record is from RNAcentral. Lineage: Eukaryota; Metazoa; Arthropoda; Insecta; Hymenoptera; Figitidae.
CAAAAAAUAGUUUAAAUAAAACAUUAAUUUUGGAGAUUAAAAAUAUAAAUUAAUUUAUUUUUUUGA